Molecule: long non-coding RNA, 736 nt
Organism: Terrapene triunguis (Three-toed box turtle)
Lineage: Eukaryota; Metazoa; Chordata; Testudines; Emydidae
Exons: 3
Source: RefSeq, a predicted model, not a curated record
GAGAACUACGAGACGGUGACCUCGCUGGGAUUUCCCAUUCCCAAACCUGAGCUGAUCGCCCGACUGGAACGAGGGGAAGAGCCUUGGGUGCCCAAUCUCCAGGCCUCGGAGGAAAGAGAGAUCUCGAGAGGCACCCGCACAGCAGAUGAUGACAGAGUGAGUGAGAAGGAGGAGGGGAAUCAUCAUGAGCAUGUUCCUGGGGAAAUGGAACCACAGGGGACCUUUGUGCGAAGAGCUGAAGGGAAUUUUUUCCAGUGCUUGGAAGAGGGAGACGCCUGGGGAAAUAGGCACAGGUCAGAGAGGCUGCUGGGAAAACACCCAAAGAAGAAAGUGGAUGAAUCCAUUCAAUGUUGGGCAGGAGACAAGGAUCCCACAGCCCAGCAGACAAAUCCCAAGGAAGAAAAACCCUAUCCAUGCCUCGAAUGUGGGAAAGGAUUCAUUUUGAGAUCACACCUUGUGACACAUCAGACACUCCAUACUGGUCAGAAACCCCUUCAAUGCUUGGACUGUGGAGAAAGCUUCAAUAACCGCUCAGACCUCAAUAACCAUGGGAGAGGCCACUCGGGAGAGAAACCCUAUCAGUCCCUUGAGUGCAGGAAAUGUUUGAAUUGGAAGUCAGCACUAAUUACACACCAGAUAAGCCAAAUACGAGAGAGACCCCAUAAAUGCUUAGACUGUGGAAAAAGUUUCAUACAGAGGUCAGACCUUGUUAAACAUCAGGCAAUCCACACAGGAG